UGUAAACCGGUUUAAUAUCCUAGAUAAUUG
RNAcentral lists this non-coding RNA (30 nucleotides) under Mus musculus (house mouse). Lineage: Eukaryota; Metazoa; Chordata; Mammalia; Rodentia; Muridae. The record is from RNAcentral.